CCCUUAGAUGUUCUGGCCGCACGCGCGCUACACUGAUGCAUUCAACGAGCCUAUCCUUGACCGACAGGUCCGGGUAAUCUUUGAAUCUGCAUCGUGACGGGGAUAGAUUAUUGCAAUUAUUAAUCUUCAACGAGGAAUGCCUAGUAGGCGCAAGUCAUCAGCUUGCGUCGAUUACGUCCCUGCCCUUUGUACACACCGCCCGUCGCUCCCACCGAUUGGGUGUGCUGGUGAAAUGUUCGGAUCGGCCGUUUGUCGCGGUUUCCGCGUCAUGUGGCUGAGAAGUUCAUUAAACCCUCCCACCUAGAGGAAGGAGAAGUCGUAACA
RNAcentral lists this ribosomal RNA (324 nucleotides) under uncultured eukaryote. RNAcentral's name for it is "partial 18S ribosomal RNA". It matches the Rfam family "Eukaryotic small subunit ribosomal RNA", at positions 1470 to 1796 of the family's 1831-position model. The record is from RNAcentral.